This 434-nucleotide ribosomal RNA is filed under the name uncultured bacterium. RNAcentral's name for it is "partial 16S ribosomal RNA". It matches the Rfam family "Bacterial small subunit ribosomal RNA", at positions 29 to 506 of the family's 1533-position model. The record is from RNAcentral.
AACGAACGCUGGCGGCAGGCUUAACACAUGCAAGUCGAACGCAUGCCUUCGGGCAUGAGUGGCAGACGGGUGAGUAACGCGUGGGAACCUACCCCUUGGUACGGGAUAGCUCCGGGAAACUGGAGAUAAUACCGUAUGUGUCCUGAGGGACAAAGAUUCAUCGCCAAGGGAUGGGCCCGCGUCGGAUUAGCUAGUUGGUGGGGUAACGGCCUACCAAGGCGACGAUCCGUAGCUGGUCUAAGAGGAUGAUCAGCCACAUUGGGACUGAGACACGGCCCAAACUCCUACGGGAGGCAGCAGUGGGGAAUAUUGGACAAUGGGCGCAAGCCUGAUCCAGCCAUGCCGCGUGAGUGAUGAAGGCCCUAGGGUUGUAAAGCUCUUUCACCGGUGACGAUAAUGACGGUAACCGGAGAAGAAGCCCCGGCUAACUUCGC